RNAcentral lists this ribosomal RNA (750 nucleotides) under Nesterenkonia sp. YIM 90711. RNAcentral describes it as "bacterial SSU rRNA". It matches the Rfam family "Bacterial small subunit ribosomal RNA", at positions 34 to 790 of the family's 1533-position model. Lineage: Bacteria; Bacillati; Actinomycetota; Actinomycetes; Micrococcales; Micrococcaceae. The record is from RNAcentral.
AGCUGGCGGCGUGCUUAACACAUGCAAGUCGAACGAUGAAGCCGGGUGCUUGCACCGGGUGGAUUAGUGGCGAACGGGUGAGUAUCACGUGAGUAACCUGCCCUUGACUCUGGGAUAAGCCUGGGAAACUGGGUCUAAUACCGGAUAUGACCAGUCCUCGCAUGGGGUGCUGGUGGAAAGAUUUUAUCGGUCUUGGAUGGACUCGCGGCCUAUCAGUUUGUUGGUGAGGUAAUGGCUCACCAAGGCGAUGACGGGUAGCCGGCCUGAGAGGGUGACCGGCCACACUGGGACUGAGACACGGCCCAGACUCCUACGGGAGGCAGCAGUGGGGAAUAUUGCACAAUGGGCGCAAGCCUGAUGCAGCGACGCCGCGUGCGGGAUGACGGCCUUCGGGUUGUAAACCGCUUUCAGCAGGGAAGAAGCUUUUUGUGACGGUACCUGCAGAAGAAGCGCCGGCUAACUACGUGCCAGCAGCCGCGGUAAUACGUAGGGCGCGAGCGUUAUCCGGAAUUAUUGGGCGUAAAGGGCUCGCAGGCGGUUUGCCACGUCUGCUGUGAAAGCCCGGGGCUUAACUCCGGGUGUGCAGUGGGUACGGGUAGACUAGAGUGCAGUAGGGGAGACUGGAAUUCCUGGUGUAGCGGUGAAAUGCGCAGAUAUCAGGAAGAACACCGAUGGCGAAGGCAGGUCUCUGGGCUGUUACUGACGCUGAGGAGCGAAAGCAUGGGGAGCGAACAGGAUUAGAUACCCUGG